GUCCUAGUAGCGCAAUGGAUAGCGCGCUGGAUUUCUUAUCCAGGGAUUGUGAGAUGGAAUCCCACCUGGGAUG
Molecule: non-coding RNA, 73 nt
Organism: Trichonephila clavipes
Lineage: Eukaryota; Metazoa; Arthropoda; Arachnida; Araneae; Nephilidae
Source: the annotation of a GenBank genome assembly